GACGAACGCUGGCGGCGUGCUUAACACAUGCAAGUCGAACGGAAAGGCCCUGCUUUUGUGGGGUGCUCGAGUGGCGAACGGGUGAGUAACACGUGAGUAACCUGCCCUUGACUUUGGGAUAACUUCAGGAAACUGGGGCUAAUACCGGAUAGGAGCUCCUGCUGCAUGGUGGGGGUUGGAAAGUUUCGGCGGUUGGGGAUGGACUCGCGGCUUAUCAGCUUGUUGGUGGGGUAGUGGCUUACCAAGGCUUUGACGGGUAGCCGGCCUGAGAGGGUGACCGGCCACAUUGGGACUGCGAUACGGCCCAGACUCCUACGGGAGGCAGCAGUGGGGAAUAUUGCACAAUGGGCGGAAGCCUGAUGCAGCAACGCCGCGUGCGGGAUGACGGCCUUCGGGUUGUAAACCGCUUUCGCCUGUGACGAAGCGUGAGUGACGGUAAUGGGUAAAGAAGCACCGGCUAGCUACGUG
This 468-nucleotide ribosomal RNA is filed under the name uncultured bacterium. RNAcentral describes it as "partial 16S ribosomal RNA". It matches the Rfam family "Bacterial small subunit ribosomal RNA", at positions 28 to 507 of the family's 1533-position model. The record is from RNAcentral.